ACCUUCCUUGCAUACCUAAGACAAAUCCCACUUGCUCAUGAUUAAUGAUCAUUUCAAUGUUUUGUUGACUUUGGUUUGCUAAUAUUUUGUUGAGGAUUUUCCCAUCAAUGUUCACCAGGAAUAUUUUUCUGAAGUUUUCUUUUUAUUGAUGUGUCUUAGUCUAUUUUGGUAUCAGG
Sapajus apella (tufted capuchin) is the source of this 176-nucleotide long non-coding RNA. RefSeq lists it as uncharacterized. NCBI's taxonomy places the organism in Eukaryota, Metazoa, Chordata, Mammalia, Primates, Cebidae. The transcript is spliced from 3 exons. The record is from RefSeq and is a predicted model, not a curated record.